Phymastichus coffea is the source of this 1788-nucleotide RNA transcript. It is a transcript of the gene named zinc finger protein 62 homolog, with no coding region annotated. Lineage: Eukaryota; Metazoa; Arthropoda; Insecta; Hymenoptera; Eulophidae. The record is from RefSeq and is a predicted model, not a curated record. The transcript is spliced from 5 exons.
UCAGAGCAACCAGGUCUUAGAACCCCAGGAUUAUUUUCAAGAAAUAGGAAUUAUAUUUUAGAAUAUUAAAUAUUAUAAGAUAAUAUAUCAAUGUUCGACAUUAUAACUAUCCUAUUCGUUUGAUUCUGAUGAUAGGAUCAGAAAAACGUUUCUUCCAUUUAUUUAUUGCCUUUCAGUUAACUUUUUUGCACAAAUAUGGAACGAACUUUAAGUUUCAAAGCAGAACCAAUUGAUCAAGAGGAAAUAGAGGAAAUCUUACCAGAUUUACCAGAACCAUCAAUUCAUGUGAAAUCAGACUGUUUUGAGAUAAAACCACAAUAAAUCAAAAUAAACAACUCCAGUAUUUUUCUCAAUAAGACUUUAAUCAAUUUAAAUGGUAUUCUUUAUUUUCUUGAAAGAAUUCCAGAAACUGUGGUACAAAAAUCGCAAACCAAACAUUUUGUAUCUCAAGUUAAGAAGAAAAAAUUGGACAAAUCAGAACCAUGUCCAAAGUGUGGAAAAAUAUUGAAACGACGUAGUUUAAAACUUCACAUGCAAACAUGUUACUAUGGUUUUACUUACGAUUGCAGCCUGAAAUGUAGCAAAUGUAAUUAUCAAACUAUGAGUGGACAUUAUUGGUUACUACAUAAGAGACAAUGUGGGAAAACAAAACCAAAACCAAUUAAAACAAAAUGCAAUGGUGAAAAAAGUAAUCAUUAUAUGACAGAUAUUAUGUGAAUGGCAUGGCAUGGCAUGUUGAAAAUAAUAAAAAACUAUAGGACUUGUGAUUGAAAGUUUUAAACUUAUAAUUGUAGUUUAUAAAGAGUACUUUAAGAUAAAAAAAAUUUCGUGACGAUAUCUGUAUUAUUAGAAGAAAUUUUACAGUGUGAUUAAAAAAAAAUUAAAAUGCGAUCAUUAUUAAUUCCGGUUGGUCCUCUGCGUAAAAAAUGUGUACAUUUAUUAAUUUCAUAUAACAUUUUAGGCUACACACAGUCGAUUACUCAUCACUGUGAAAUUUGCAAUAUUGAUUUUAAAUUAGACAACGCUGAUGUUAGUGUAAAAAAAUCCUGUAUUAAUUGCUCGUCUACUUUGACAUAUAAAUGCAAGAAAUGUGGUGAACUUUGUUUAUUUUACGAAUCAUUAGUAAUUCAUGUGAAGACCAUUUGCAAUCAAGAAAAAUAUUUUAAAUGUUUUCAAUGUGAUUUGGUGACGUAUUCUAUGAGCCAAUUAAAUGAACAUAAUAAAACACUUCAUAGUGAUAUAUCUGCAAUGUGUAAAAAUUGUGAAUCAUUUUUUAAGAGUUCAAUACAUCUGAAAAAACAUGAAAAGCAAUGUAGUUCAGUUUAUAAAUCACUACAGAAUGAUAUGUGCCCUUACCCAAAUCAUAAUACUUCAGCUGUAGUUCAUCAAUUUUCAAGUAGGUGUUGUUGAAACAUAUCAGCUACUUCCAGGUUUAAUAAAUUUAAAAAUAAAAACUAUUUUAUAAAAUUUUGGGAUCAUUGUAUUAUGAAAAAGGCACUAUCAAGGAAAGUAAUAAUUAUAAAUUUCAUGAAGACACAAGCUCAAUUUACAAUGCAAAGUUGUUCUCACGAAACUAGAUAUAAAAUAUUUUUGAGACUACUUUAGAAGAGAUGCAUUUAGUACAACUAGUAAUAUUAUUAAAUUGUAAACUAUUUGUUAUUAUUAAUUUACAAAAUAAUUCUAAAAACACUUCAUCUUAUUAUAAUUAAAUAAAUUUUUAGAAUUAAUUGGUAAAGUUAACUUUAUUCUGUAUUUGUUUAUUAUUUCGAUCUUUAUAGAAACCACCUA